AUAACUGGGAUUCCCUAGUAGCGGCGAGCGAAGCGGGAAGAGCUCAAAUUUAUAAUCUGGCACCUUCGGUGUCCGAGUUGUAAUCUCUAGAAGUGUUUUCCGCGUUGGACCGCACACAAGUCUGUUGGAAUACAGCGGCAUAGUGGUGAAACCCCCGUAUAUGGUGCGGACGCCCAGCGCUUUGUGAUACACUUUCAAUGAGUCGAGUUGUUUGGGAAUGCAGCUCAAAUUGGGUGGUAAAUUCCAUCUAAAGCUAAAUAUUGGCGAGAGACCGAUAGCGAACAAGUACCGUGAGGGAAAGAUGAAAAGCACUUUGGAAAGAGAGUUAACAGUACGUGAAAUUGUUGGAAGGGAAACGCUUGAAGUCAGACUUGCUUGCCGGAGCUUGCUUCGGUUUGCAGGCCAGCAUCAGUUUUCCGGGGUGGAUAAUGACGGUUUGAAGGUAGCAGUCUCGGCUGUGUUAUAGCUUUCCGUUGGAUACAUCCUGGGGGACUGAGGAACGCAGCGUGCUUUUUGCGAAAGACUCGUCUUUUUCACGCUUAGGAUGCUGGUGGAAUGGCUUUAAACGACCCGUCUACACC
RNAcentral lists this ribosomal RNA (581 nucleotides) under Rhodotorula sp. YM25873. Its description in RNAcentral is "eukaryotic LSU rRNA". It matches the Rfam family "Eukaryotic large subunit ribosomal RNA", at positions 65 to 659 of the family's 3401-position model. The record is from RNAcentral. Lineage: Eukaryota; Fungi; Basidiomycota; Microbotryomycetes; Sporidiobolales; Sporidiobolaceae.